Molecule: unclassified non-coding RNA, 430 nt
Filed under: soil metagenome
Description: partial contains 5.8S ribosomal RNA, internal transcribed spacer 2, and large subunit ribosomal RNA
Rfam family: 5.8S ribosomal RNA (bases 1-120)
Source: RNAcentral
GAUGAAGAACGUAGCGAAAUGCGAUACGUAAUGUGAAUUGCAGAAUUCAGUGAAUCAUCGAAUCUUUGAACGCAUAUUGCGCUCUCUGGUGUUCCGGAGAGCAUGCUUGUUUGAGUAUCAGUAAACACCUCAACUCCCUUUUCUUUUUUGAAAUUGGAGCUGGACUUGAGUGAUCCCAACGCUUUCUUCCAAGAAAGUGGCGGGUUGCUUGAAAUGCAGGUGCAGCUGAACUUUUCUCUGAGCUAUAAGCAUAUCUAUUUAGUCUGCCUAAAAAACAGAUUAUUACCUUUGCUGCAGCUAACAUAAAGGAGACUAGUUCUUGUGCUGACUGAUGCAGGAUUCACAGAGACAGCUUCGGCUGACUUUGUAAACUCGAUCUCAAAUCAAGUAAGACUACCCGCUGAACUUAAGCAUAUCAAUAAGCGGAGGA